This 253-nucleotide ribosomal RNA is filed under the name uncultured bacterium. RNAcentral describes it as "partial 16S ribosomal RNA". It matches the Rfam family "Bacterial small subunit ribosomal RNA", at positions 524 to 776 of the family's 1533-position model. The record is from RNAcentral.
UACGAAGGGGGCUAGCGUUGCUCGGAAUCACUGGGCGUAAAGGGCGCGUAGGCGGCUUAUCAAGUCGGGGGUGAAAGCCCGUGGCUCAACCACGGAAUGGCCUUCGAUACUGGUAGGCUUGAGACCGGAAGAGGACAGCGGAACUGCGAGUGUAGAGGUGAAAUUCGUAGAUAUUCGCAAGAACACCAGUGGCGAAGGCGGCUCACUGGCCCGAUACUGACGCUGAGGUGCGAAAGCGUGGGGAGCAAACAGG